Molecule: ribosomal RNA, 638 nt
Filed under: Salmonella enterica subsp. enterica serovar Infantis
Lineage: Bacteria; Pseudomonadati; Pseudomonadota; Gammaproteobacteria; Enterobacterales; Enterobacteriaceae
Description: partial 23S ribosomal RNA
Rfam family: Bacterial large subunit ribosomal RNA
Source: RNAcentral
GGACGCCAGUCUGCGUGGAGCCGACCUUGAAAUACCACCCUUUAAUGUUUGAUGUUCUAACGUGGAUCCGUAAUCCGGGUUGCGGACAGUGUCUGGUGGGUAGUUUGACUGGGGCGGUCUCCUCCUAAAGAGUAACGGAGGAGCACGAAGGUUGGCUAAUCCUGGUCGGACAUCAGGAGGUUAGUGCAAUGGCAUAAGCCAGCUUGACUGCGAGCGUGACGGCGCGAGCAGGUGCGAAAGCAGGUCAUAGUGAUCCGGUGGUUCUGAAUGGAAGGGCCAUCGCUCAACGGAUAAAAGGUACUCCGGGGAUAACAGGCUGAUACCGCCCAAGAGUUCAUAUCGACGGCGGUGUUUGGCACCUCGAUGUCGGCUCAUCACAUCCUGGGGCUGAAGUAGGUCCCAAGGGUAUGGCUGUUCGCCAUUUAAAGUGGUACGCGAGCUGGGUUUAGAACGUCGUGAGACAGUUCGGUCCCUAUCUGCCGUGGGCGCUGGAGAACUGAGGGGGGCUGCUCCUAGUACGAGAGGACCGGAGUGGACGCAUCACUGGUGUUCGGGUUGUCAUGCCAAUGGCACUGCCCGGUAGCUAAAUGCGGAAGAGAUAAGUGCUGAAAGCAUCUAAGCACGAAACUUGCCCCGAG